CUUACCACAUUUUUAUACCAU
RNAcentral lists this microRNA (21 nucleotides) under Prunus persica (peach). Its description in RNAcentral is "ppe-miR6291a". The record is from miRBase by way of RNAcentral. Lineage: Eukaryota; Viridiplantae; Streptophyta; Magnoliopsida; Rosales; Rosaceae.